Non-coding RNA from Stegodyphus mimosarum, 73 nucleotides. The record is from Rfam. NCBI's taxonomy places the organism in Eukaryota, Metazoa, Arthropoda, Arachnida, Araneae, Eresidae.
GGGGGCAUAGCUCAGAUGGUAGAGCACUCGUUUAGCAUGCGAGAGGUGCCGGGAUCAAUACCUGGCGCGUCCA